RNAcentral lists this ribosomal RNA (253 nucleotides) under uncultured bacterium. Its description in RNAcentral is "partial 16S ribosomal RNA". It matches the Rfam family "Bacterial small subunit ribosomal RNA", at positions 524 to 776 of the family's 1533-position model. The record is from RNAcentral.
UACGUAGGGUGCAAGCGUUGUCCGGAAUUAUUGGGCGUAAAGAGCUCGUAGGCGGUCUGUCGCGUCGGCUGUGAAAACCCGAGGCUCAACCUCGGGCCUGCAGUCGAUACGGGCAAACUAGAGUACUGCAGGUGAGACUGGAAUUCCUGGUGUAGCGGUGAAAUGCGUAGAUAUCGUCUGGAACGCCAAAGGUGAAAACAGACUGCUGGGAGUGUGCUGACGCUGAGACACGAAAGCCAGGGGAGCAAACGGG